AUAUAUCAACCUCUUCAGCUUUUGCUUGUUGAGUGUUGGAUGUGGGGGUCUUUUGCUGGCCUUUUUAACAAAGAGGUCAGCUCCCCUAAAAUUCAUUAGCGGAACAAUUUGUUGACCGUUCAUUGGUGUGAUAAUUAUCUACGCUAUUGACGUGAGGCAGUUCAGCUUCUAACAGUCCAUUGACUUGGACAGUUUUCAUUA
Molecule: unclassified non-coding RNA, 201 nt
Filed under: uncultured Cortinarius
Lineage: Eukaryota; Fungi; Basidiomycota; Agaricomycetes; Agaricales; Cortinariaceae
Description: sequence contains ITS2
Source: RNAcentral